GCUUACGGCCACACCGGCCUGAGUACGCCUGAUCUCGUCCGAUCUCGGAAGCUAAGCAGGUCGGCCUGGUUAGUACUUGGGAUGGGAGACCGCCUGGGAAUACCAGGUGCUGUAAGCU
RNAcentral lists this ribosomal RNA (118 nucleotides) under Oncorhynchus mykiss (rainbow trout). Lineage: Eukaryota; Metazoa; Chordata; Actinopteri; Salmoniformes; Salmonidae. The record is from RNAcentral.